UCCUGCAAAUUUCAAAAGUAAAAACACCAUCAAUUUUCUCUUUUACACACCAAAAAGUACACAACAUAUGAAUCAAAUUUCAAUACAAACUAUUCAAACUGGAAUGCAAAACAGCAAAAGGGCUUUCAACAUUCGCCACUAGAAAGAGUUUAUGCUUCUAAACAUCAUGCUAUUUCCCAUUUUUGGACAAUAAAUGAGAGAAUAUUUUUCUGUCAUUUUUCAUUUGUCUCAAUUUCCCAGCAUACAAAUUAUUUUUUUUAGCAAAAGAUUGUCAUUCUACAAGUUUAUUUUGUUUAAUACAUCUUUUCCACCCACAUGGGACCGUUAUAAUUCCUGGUUAAGGUUUGGCGCGGCUUACAAUUCUCAUUGUUAUCUGACCUUAACCAUUUUUACUGAUAGUUUAGGAAAAAUUAAAUGGAGAUAACUUGGGAAAUCAUACUAAGUAUUAUUUAAAAUAAAGAAACAAAUGUGAGAAAACUUGGCCAGAACUGAAAGUAGCAUCAUGUGUUGGCAUUUUUAGUGUGUUAGAAAGAUGUUUGGGUAAAAUAAGUGGUUCAAACCAGACGAAUUAGGAUUCAAACCAAAAUAUUUAGUGGGCACACGGUGUACUAUGACACUCUGAUGGCUGAAAGUAGAAAAAUACAUGGCCUGCAGAAUUUAACCACAAUAAAUGUUAUUUAAUUUAAAGAGAGUGACAGAGAUUAAUUGUGAGCAUGUUUUCCUAUAAGAAAAAUUGCACAUAGUAAAAGAACAUGUUACAUUAUCACUGCUGCGACUUUUCUAUAAUCUUCAUUUGCUUCUGAAUUAUUAUUGCACCAAAGAGAAAAUGAGAAUAUCUUUUUCCAAAGGAUUUUUCUUUAUAAACUAUAGAUGUCUUACUUUAGAAUGUCACUUCAAAUAUCCAUGCCCUCUCAGAAUUUUCUAAAAAUGAAAAAAAAAAAAUGAGUCUCAUGAUCUCUGUCAAAAAGUGACUGUGAUGAUGCAAAUCACAACAAAGUGGUUUUUAACACUUUUUCAUUUUCAAUUAUACAGACUCAAAUAAAAACUGUUUUGUUUUUAAAGUAAGAAAGUCCCUAGUGCUUCCAAAACAUUCCAGAUUAAGGAGAAACAUGUUAGAAUGGGGUGUUUGCUACAAGAUACAAAGGAAAGACUCAAGAGUUCUGCCUGACUUAACCCUCACAGCUCUAAGAGGAGGAAGAUUGGGAAAUUCUACUCAAUCCUUGAUGGGCAGAAAAUGAUUCAUUUCUGAAAGCUAAGAUCCACAGCCUUGGAUCAUUAUAACUUACUGAGGAAUACUGAGAAUUAAAAUGUUCUAGUAUAGUUGGAGUGGGGAGGAGAAAGGGGGCAAUGAAAAAGCAGGAAAUUUUAAACUUUAUUUUUUAUAUUAAGUUUUGCUAACACAUCAUGUUUUAAAUAUGCUAUCAGAGCUUAUUCUGUAAAAAUAUUAGUGAAUUCCCUUUUGCAUAAUCUCUUAUCAUGAUGAUAUUCCCACUCUGUUUUAAAAAUUACAUUUCCUUUAAUUUUUCCUUUGUACAACUAUCAUCAACAUUCAUUUUAAGGAAACAUGUAUAUCAUAUAUACCACAUAUACAUGUAUGUAUAUGUGUGUGUGUCUGUGUACGUAUGGAUUGGGGAGAGGAAGGGAAGGAAAAUUGAAUCCUCUUAAUGGAGUAUACUCCACAGUCUAUGACUUUUGGGGGAAGGGGAUGGGGAGAUUGGCCAAAUUGUACAAUUGCAAAAACUGUCUCUGAUGGAUCAAAAAGGGAAUUAAGUCAGAUUUUAAAGAUAAGUUCUGCAAUGUAUAGAGGACCAGAAUAUUUAGAGAAAUCUGGUCUCAAAAGUAAGAGAAAGCACUAUUUGGAGAGCAAAUGAAUGAAAAAAGAUGGUACUUUUAGCUUGAUGGGUAUAAUGAGAUGAUAUAACUUGUAGAGGGCCAGAAUGAUGAUGAUGAUGGAUUCAAAAGUUUUUCUGUUUUAAUGAGCAGUGG
This 1986-nucleotide long non-coding RNA is filed under the name Sarcophilus harrisii (Tasmanian devil). RNAcentral's name for it is "lncRNA (ENSSHAG00000025820.1)". Lineage: Eukaryota; Metazoa; Chordata; Mammalia; Dasyuromorphia; Dasyuridae. The record is from RNAcentral.